Molecule: ribosomal RNA, 740 nt
Filed under: uncultured bacterium
Lineage: Bacteria
Description: bacterial SSU rRNA
Rfam family: Bacterial small subunit ribosomal RNA
Source: RNAcentral
GAAAGCUAGGGGAGCAAACGGGAUUAGAAACCCCCGGUAGUCCUAGCUGUAAACGAUGGAUGCUAGGUGUGAGCAGAACUAACCCUGCGCGUGCCGAAGCUAACGCGUUAAGCAUCCCGCCUGGGAACUACGAGCGCAAGCUUAAAACUCAAAGGAAUUGACGGGGACCCGCACAAGCAGCGGAGCGUGUGGUUUAAUUCGAUGCUACACGAAGAACCUUACCCAGGUUUGACAUACAGGUAGUAGUGGAGCGAAAGCGGAACGACCCGCAAGGGAGCCUGAACAGGUGUUGCGUGGCUGUCGUCAGCUCGUGUCGUGAGAUGUUGGUUUAAGUACCCUAACGAGCGCAACCCUCGUUGCCAGUUACAAGUGUCUGGCGAGACUGCCGGCCGCAAGCCGGAGGAAGGCGGGGAUGACGUCAAGUCAGCAUGGCCUUUAUAUCUGGGGCUACACACACGCUACAAUGGGUAGCAACAAUGGGUUGCCAAGCCGCGAGGUGGAGCCAAUCCCAUAAAACUGCCCUCAGUUCAGAUUGCAGGCUGCAACCCGCCUGCAUGAAGUCGGAGUUGCUAGUAAACGCGCGUCAGCUAUAGUGCGUUGAAUACGUUCCCGGGUCUUGUACACACCGCCCGUCACACUAUGGGAGCUGACAACACCUGAAGCCAGUAGCGUAACCGCAAGGAGCGCGCUGUCAAAGGUGGGGUUGGUGACUGGAGUGAAGUCGUAACAAGGUAACCGUA